CUACGGGAGGCUGCAGUGGGGAAUGUUGCACAAUGGGCGCAAGCCUGAUGCAGCCAUGCCGCGUGUAUGAAGAAGGCCUUCGGGUUGUAAAGUACUUUCAGCGGGGAGGAAGGGAGUAAAGUUAAUACCUUUGCUCAUUGACGUUACCCGCAGAAGAAGCACCGGCUAACUCCGUGCCAGCAGCCGCGGUAAUACGGAGGGUGCAAGCGUUAAUCGGAAUUACUGGGCGUAAAGCGCACGCAGGCGGUUUGUUAAGUCAGAUGUGAAAUCCCCGGGCUCAACCUGGGAACUGCAUCUGAUACUGGCAAGCUUGAGUCUCGUAGAGGGGGGUAGAAUUCCAGGUGUAGCGGUGAAAUGCGUAGAGAUCUGGAGGAAUACCGGUGGCGAAGGCGGCCCCCUGGACGAAGACUGACGCUCAGGUGCGAAAGCGUGGGGAGCAAGCAGGAUUAGAUACCCCCGUAGUC
Molecule: ribosomal RNA, 464 nt
Filed under: uncultured bacterium
Lineage: Bacteria
Description: partial 16S ribosomal RNA
Rfam family: Bacterial small subunit ribosomal RNA
Source: RNAcentral